AACGUAGGAGCCAAGCGUUAUCCGAAUUCACUGGGCGUAAAGCGCGUGCAGGCGGCUCGGUAAGUUGGAUGUGAAAGCUCCUGGCUCAACUGGGAGAGGACGUUCAAUACUGUCGGGCUAGAGGACGGUAGAGGGAGGUGGAAUUCCCGGUGUAGUGGUGAAAUGCGUAGAUAUCGGGAGGAACACCAGUGGCGAAGGCGGCCUCCUGGGCCGUUCCUGACGCUCAGACGCGAAAGCUAGGGGAGCGAACGGG
RNAcentral lists this ribosomal RNA (253 nucleotides) under uncultured bacterium. RNAcentral's name for it is "partial 16S ribosomal RNA". It matches the Rfam family "Bacterial small subunit ribosomal RNA", at positions 524 to 776 of the family's 1533-position model. The record is from RNAcentral.